RNAcentral lists this ribosomal RNA (94 nucleotides) under Billgrantia kenyensis. The record is from RNAcentral. Lineage: Bacteria; Pseudomonadati; Pseudomonadota; Gammaproteobacteria; Oceanospirillales; Halomonadaceae.
CCUGACGACCAUAGCGAGUGGGAACCACCUGACCCCAUGCCGAACUCAGCAGUGAAACCGCUCAGCGCCGAUGGUAGUGUGGGGUCUCCCCAUG